CACGGUGUUUAUUUACACUGCCGGAAACUCAUUCCUUAUGUCUUUGCUUGGCUAAUUCCUAUUGAUUAUCAUUGCUUCAUCUGACAAAGUUACUCCUGCCUUCCACACGCCAACUUCCUUUUAAUGUUGCUGGAGCAGAACAUUUUCUAGGAAGCCGUUCUUCACCCCAGUUUCUAGUGAAAAGUUCUU
Long non-coding RNA from Perognathus longimembris pacificus (Pacific pocket mouse), 189 nucleotides. RefSeq lists it as uncharacterized. NCBI's taxonomy places the organism in Eukaryota, Metazoa, Chordata, Mammalia, Rodentia, Heteromyidae. The record is from RefSeq and is a predicted model, not a curated record. The transcript is spliced from 3 exons.